GUCUACGGCCAUGCCACCCUAAACACACUCAAUCUCAUCUGAUCUCGGAAACUAAGCAGGGUCAGGCCUGGUUAGUACUUGGAUGGGAGACCACCUAGGAAGACCUGGUGCUGUAGGCA
This 119-nucleotide ribosomal RNA is filed under the name Pteropus alecto (black flying fox). Lineage: Eukaryota; Metazoa; Chordata; Mammalia; Chiroptera; Pteropodidae. The record is from RNAcentral.